RNAcentral lists this long non-coding RNA (2800 nucleotides) under Bemisia tabaci. Its description in RNAcentral is "lncRNA ENSSSA2NGG004642". The record is from RNAcentral. Lineage: Eukaryota; Metazoa; Arthropoda; Insecta; Hemiptera; Aleyrodidae.
AUGGUCUAUGAAAAAUUUCAUUGCAUGAUUUAUUUUACCGAACUUCCUGAUUCGCUGUUUGAUCUUGAUCUCGAUCUAGAUUUAGAUCUGGAUACAGACCGUGAUCUAGACUUAGACCUGGAUCGAGAUCUGGACUUAGACAUGGAUCUAGACCUGGAUCUAGAUCUGGACUUAGACAUGGAUCUAGACCUGGACUUGGACCUGGACCUAGACUUGGAUCUUGAUCUGGACUUAGAUCUUGCAGAUCCAGAUCUAUCUGACCUAUUGGACCUGGCAGAAGUGACUGAUUUAGCAUCAUCAUCAUCUGAUCCUUUCUCUUCAUCACUCUUAUCAUCUUUGCUCGCGUCCUUGUCCUUAUCUUUUUCCCCUUCUUCAUUCUUUUCUCCUUCCUUCUCUUCCUCCUCUUCUUCCUCUUCUUCUUCAUCUUCUUCUUCCUCUUCUUCUCCGGGCGGUUCCAGUUGUUUCUCACGCAUUCGGUGAUUCUUAAACUCGGCUGCGUCAGUUGGUCUAUGUUUGAGGACUAACCUUGUAAAGCUGAGAGCUUGACCUGGCUGACGUCUCUUAGUGAGUCGGACUCUGAAAAAAUCAAAAUUAGACUUGUCAGAGGAUGUCUGAUAAUUUAUUUAUUGAAAGGCUUUGUUGAUAAGGCCGAUCAGGCAUACGCAUGUCAGUUGUGGGCUUGCGCUGCAACUCGAACAUACCGAAGAUGGAGACAAUCCAAAGCAAAACAUUAAGGCAAAGCGCGGGAACAAAAUGGUGUAUGAGGAAUGAGGAUAUUAGAUCAGAACUCGGUGUAGAAAGUAUGGACGUCUUCGUCUCCCGUAUGUACGGAAGAUAUGAGGAUCGUCUGGUAUCCCACACCAAUACGGAGGCAAUCAAGCUUCUGGACUGGUUGGGGGAGACCAGGCAGUUAAAGCUUAGGCAGACGCAUGAGCUUUGCAUCCCUGACUCCAAAAAAGUCUAGCUAUUUAACGCACCACGCUCCAAAGGCUCUGUUCCCCUCUAUCUUUGUCGAUAAGGGAAAAUCCAAAAAUUAAAAGACAGGUUGGCUGCUAACACAGUUUAACCCCCAUAGGUUAUAGUUAGGAUUUUUAGCACUUUUUGCCAUUCCUUUUUUUUUAAAUCUUCUAUUACCCAUUACAACCAUGUUUUCAUUUCUAUUUUUUUUUACAUAAUUCGGACUUCCCUAUAUCUGAGGGGAAACCUGGGUCGGGGUUCUCUCUCUGUGCAGCUGUUGGGCCGGUCGUUCGGGGGCGGACCCUCGGCCAGCCCACCCCUCCUAUCACUUUUGUUUUUAUUUUACUUUCUUCUGACAGUUUUCUUCUCUUACCCAAAAAGUGCUUGUAGAAUUUUUAAGUAACAUUAAAUAUUCAAAUAAACUGUAAAAAGCCCAGUUUGUUGAUCUGAACAUUCUAUUGUAUGCACUAUAAUUUUGUAUAACACUGAAUAAGAAAAAAAAAAUUAAUAGUAGUAUCACAAAAUAGAAUGUUGUUAUAUGCAGUCCUUUUAGGAAAAUGAAAUGGGAAAGUGAAUUUUUUUCCCUUUUUUUUCAGCAGAUAUACUCAAAGCCUAGACAGCGAGGGAUGUGUUAAACGAUUAAACUUUUUAGACUACUGUACACUAUUUUAACAACUAAAUAUAAUGAAUACGUAGAUAUUAUUGACCCUUUUUUACCACAUAAUAAAUCAUUAUUAUACCUCUUGAUUAUCUGUACUAUCUCAAAUAAUUACAAACAAAUUUCAUCCGCAGUCAAAAUCUAAUUUUAAAAAUAAAAUUGCUCAUUGUGCAAGCACAUCAUACAUGGAGCUCAAUCAAUUAAAAGAACAGAAAUAGGAGAUCUGAGAGGUAAAGCACUGACCUGGUCUCUAAUUCAUCGUAAAAUACACCAUCUUCUCGCAUGACGAACAAGUAAUUCUCUUCGUAGCCCUUUGAAGCUUUAUUCUUGACAUUCCAAUUGUAAUCCCGAGCAAUUUUGUACUCAUAUUCUUCAUCAUCAACAUAGUCAACAUUGUUUGUGAAGUCUCUCUUUCUCUUUCUAGAGUUUCCUCAGUCGGUAAAAAGUAAGCGACAAACUGGUUACCUUCCUCAUCCAUCACACCCCUGAAAAAAAUUUAUAUCAAAUAAUGUGAGAAAAAUCAUCUGAUUGAAAUUGAACAUACAUAAAAGAUACACAAUUUUGCUGCUAGCAUGAUAAGUUCAAUUAAUUGUUUCAGUUAAUUAUUCGUCUUUUUCUUACCAAAUUUGAAAUAAAUACCAGAUGCAGCGAAAAUUAUCAAUAAAAUGAAGAGACUAUGAAAACAGAGCUCGAUUGCAGUUUUCAGCUCAGCCGAUAGGCGGCAGGUGCUUCUUGUUUUUGUUUUGCCACUAGAAUUCUUCUAUAGUAGAACAUUCAAGUCAUUGAAUAGCUCACCAACUCAACAAAACAUGGCCGACAAGAUUCUCAGAAUUUUCUUCUUACACAUUGUCACAUUGUCCUAUUAACAAAAAACAAGCAGAAAAGAAAUAAAAUCUUUCCAGAUUUCCAGAGACACUAAUUAAGGGAAUUUUUCUGUAGUGUUGAAGUUUAUAUCUACUUAUAAUGGUUAAAAAUCGUACCGAAUCAUGGCUUGUGACAUUUCCUCCUCUUGUUCUGCAGAUGACCGACCGGGUCGAGCUGGGUCAGAGUCAAAUAAAACUUGUGCAAAUGGAUACUUCCACAUCUGAAAAGAAAGAUACAAUGACAAUAAGUAACUAAAGUACAAUGAAAUCUUACCUAAAUUUUAGAGCAAGAUAGAGGUUUAACUGAUGAGAAGAUUUCCAG